Molecule: microRNA precursor, 197 nt
Filed under: Oryza meridionalis
Lineage: Eukaryota; Viridiplantae; Streptophyta; Magnoliopsida; Poales; Poaceae
Description: MIR812 microRNA precursor family
Rfam family: MIR812 microRNA precursor family
Source: Rfam by way of RNAcentral
AAUAAAUGCAGUUUUGCACCGCUCAUGUCUAAGUUUUAUUUGAAGUUUUAUUAUUAUUAGUACUUUUAUUGUUAGUAGAUGAUAAAAUAUUAAUAAUACUUUACGUGUGACUAGUUUUUUUUAAAAAAAAAUUCAUAAAUUUUUUAAAUAAAACGGACGUCAAAUGCUAGAUACGGAUUACCACGGCUACAUUUAUU